RNAcentral lists this ribosomal RNA (253 nucleotides) under uncultured bacterium. RNAcentral's name for it is "partial 16S ribosomal RNA". It matches the Rfam family "Bacterial small subunit ribosomal RNA", at positions 524 to 776 of the family's 1533-position model. The record is from RNAcentral.
UACGUAGGGGGCAAGCGUUGUCCGGAAUUAUUGGGCGUAAAGAGCGCGUAGGCGGUCCGAUAAGUCGGCUGUGAAAGUCAGGGGCUCAACCCUUGGAAGCCGGCCGAUACUGUCGGACUAGAGUCCGGAAGAGGCGAGUGGAAUUCCCGGUGUAGCGGUGAAAUGCGCAGAUAUCGGGAGGAACACCGGUGGCGAAGGCGGUUCUCUGGGCCUUACCUGACGCUGAGGAGCGAAAGCGUGGGGAGCGAACAGG